RNAcentral lists this small nuclear RNA (85 nucleotides) under Chinchilla lanigera (long-tailed chinchilla). Its description in RNAcentral is "U4 spliceosomal RNA (ENSCLAG00000020697.1)". The stretch from base 1 to 74 matches the Rfam family "U4 spliceosomal RNA". From Rfam's summary of the family: U4 small nuclear RNA (U4 snRNA) is a component of the major U2-dependent spliceosome. The structure of U4 snRNA from yeast and human has been reported. U4 snRNA presents a k-turn RNA motif in the 5p-SL related to recognition of Snu13 protein. The record is from RNAcentral. Lineage: Eukaryota; Metazoa; Chordata; Mammalia; Rodentia; Chinchillidae.
AGCUUUGCACAGUGGCAGUAUUGCGGCCAGUGAGGUUUAUCUGAGGUGAGAUUAUUGCUAAUUGAAAACAAAGAGACAGAUUUGC